AGGGAGGGACAAGGGGGAGGACGAAAUAGGGAAUGAGGAGAGGGCGGCAACGGAGAGGUAUUAGUCUCAGUAAAGCACAAACGAUUGGUUCAUAAAUCUAAAUUAUGUGCAUAUACUAUUUAAGAACCAUGGCAUUAGCAUUUUUUAUUAGAACCAAAGAUAACUAAUUAAUGUUACUCAAACAAGUGACACAGGAGUCAAGUGCAUGUGUCCCAAAAAGCCACUAACUUGGGAUACUAUAUAUAUGUGUGUGUGUAUAUGUAUAUAUAUGUAUGUAUGUA
RNAcentral lists this long non-coding RNA (281 nucleotides) under Phoenix dactylifera (date palm). RNAcentral's name for it is "long non-coding RNA (PDAC_LNC002504)". Lineage: Eukaryota; Viridiplantae; Streptophyta; Magnoliopsida; Arecales; Arecaceae. The record is from RNAcentral.